GAUGAACGCUGGCGGCGUGCCUAACACAUGCAAGUCGAGCGAGAAAAACUAAUUGAGUCUUCGGACAAGAGAAGUUUUGGAAAGCGGCGGACGGGUGAGUAACGCGUGGGUAACCUGCCCUAUGGAGGGGGAUAACGCAAAGAAAUUUGCGCUAAUACCGCAUAAGCACACAGGAUCACAUGAUCUAGGGUGAAAAACUCCGGUGCCAUAGGAUGGACCCGCGUAAGAUUAGCUAGUUGGUGAGGUAAUGGCUCACCAAGGCAACGAUCUUUAGCCGACCUGAGAGGGUGAUCGGCCACAUUGGGACUGAGACACGGCCCAAACUCCUACGGGAGGCAGCAGUGGGGGAUAUUGCACAAUGGGCGAAAGCCUGAUGCAGCAACGCCGCGUGAAGGAAGACGGUUUUCGGAUUGUAAACUUCUAUCAGCAGGGAAGAAAAUGACUGUACCUGACUAAGAAGCCCCGGCUAACUACGUG
This 477-nucleotide ribosomal RNA is filed under the name uncultured bacterium. RNAcentral's name for it is "bacterial SSU rRNA". It matches the Rfam family "Bacterial small subunit ribosomal RNA", at positions 28 to 507 of the family's 1533-position model. The record is from RNAcentral.